UACGGGGGGGGCAAGCGUUGUUCGGAAUUACUGGGCGUAAAGGGCUCGUAGGUGGCCAACUAAGUCAGACGUGAAAUCCCCAGGUUUAACCUGGGAACUGCGUCUGAUACUGGAUGGCUUGAAUUCGGGAGAGGGGGGUGGAAUUCCGCGUGUAGCAGUGAAAUGCGUAGAGAUGCGGAGGAACACCGAUGGCGAAGGCAGCCCCCUGGGCCAACACUGACGCUCAGGCACGAAAGCGUGGGGAGCAAACAGG
This 253-nucleotide ribosomal RNA is filed under the name uncultured bacterium. RNAcentral's name for it is "partial 16S ribosomal RNA". It matches the Rfam family "Bacterial small subunit ribosomal RNA", at positions 524 to 776 of the family's 1533-position model. The record is from RNAcentral.